Molecule: ribosomal RNA, 391 nt
Filed under: uncultured bacterium
Lineage: Bacteria
Description: bacterial SSU rRNA
Rfam family: Bacterial small subunit ribosomal RNA
Source: RNAcentral
GCCAUGCCGCGUGCAGGAUGACGGCCCUACGGGUUGUAAACUGCUUUUAUACGGGAAGAAACCUGAUUACGUGUAAUCAGCUGACGGUACCGUAAGAAUAAGGAUCGGCUAACUCCGUGCCAGCAGCCGCGGUAAUACGGAGGAUCCAAGCGUUAUCCGGAUUUAUUAGGUUUAAAGGGUGCGCAGGCGGAAAUGUAAGUCAGUGGUGAAAUCCUACAGCUUAACUGUAGAACUGCCAUUGAUACUGCGUUUCUUGAGUAUAGUUGAGGUAGGCGGAAUGUGUAGUGUAGCGGUGAAAUGCAUAGAUAUUACACAGAACACCAAUUGCGAAGGCAGCUUACUAAACUAUUACUGACGCUCAUGCACGAAAGCGUGGGGAGCGAACAGGAUU